This 451-nucleotide ribosomal RNA is filed under the name uncultured bacterium. RNAcentral's name for it is "bacterial SSU rRNA". It matches the Rfam family "Bacterial small subunit ribosomal RNA", at positions 29 to 524 of the family's 1533-position model. The record is from RNAcentral.
AACGAACGCUGGCGGCAGGCCUAACACAUGCAAGUCGAGCGAGGUAGCAAUACCUAGCGGCGGACGGGUUAGUAACGCGUGGGAACGUGCCCAAAGGUACGGAAUAGCCUCGGGAAACUGAGAGUAAUACCGUAUGUGCCCUUCGGGGGAAAGAUUUAUCGCCUUUGGAUCGGCCCGCGUUGGAUUAGGUAGUUGGUGGGGUAAUGGCCUACCAAGCCGACGAUCCAUAGCUGGUUUGAGAGGAUGAUCAGCAACACUGGGACUGAGACACGGCCCAGACUCCUACGGGAGGCAGCAGUGGGGAAUCUUAGACAAUGGGGGAAACCCUGAUCUAGCCAUGCCGCGUGAGCGAUGAAGGCAUUAGGGUUGUAAAGCUCUUUCAGCUGGGAAGAUAAUGACGGUACCAGCAGAAGAAGCCCCGGCUAAACUCCGUGCCAGCAGCCGCGGUAAU